GUUAUCCAAGAUAGAAUCUUAGUUCAACCUUGAGCUUACCUACAGAACCACUGAACCCUUUUGUAAACUCAAUUGUUAGUCCAAAGAGGGACAGCUCUUUGGACACUAGGAAAAAACCUUACAUAGAGAGUAAAAACCAUAACUACCAUAGUUGGCCCAAAAGCAGCCAUCAAUUAAGAAAGCGUUCAAGCUCAACAUUAACCACCCGAAAAAUACCAAACAUAUAACCGAACUCCUCAUCUCACAUUGGAUCAAUCUAUCACUUCAUAGAAGCAAUACUGUUAGUAUAAGUAACAUGAAUAUUUUCUCCACCGCAUAAGCCUAAGUCAGACCGAAAACCUCACCGACACUUAACAGUUCAGUAUCAACAAACACAAACAAGCUAAUACUACUUUCACUGUUAAUCCAACACAGGCAUGCCCUAAGGAAGGUUACAAAAAGUAAAAGGAACUCGGCAAAACUAAACCCCGCCUGUUUACCAAAAACAUCACCUCUAGCAUUACUAGUAUUAGAGGCACCGCCUGCCCAGUGACACACGUUUAACGGCCGCGGUACCCUU
Molecule: ribosomal RNA, 559 nt
Filed under: Chlorocebus aethiops (grivet monkey)
Lineage: Eukaryota; Metazoa; Chordata; Mammalia; Primates; Cercopithecidae
Description: partial 16S ribosomal RNA
Source: RNAcentral